GCGCGAGUGGCGGAAUUGGUAGACGCGCUAGCUUCAGGAGCUAGUGAGUGCAAACUCGUGGAGGUUCAAGUCCUCUCUCGCGCACCA
Molecule: transfer RNA, 87 nt
Filed under: Candidatus Saccharimonadota bacterium
Lineage: Bacteria; Candidatus Saccharimonadota
Also listed under: 1 other name
Description: Candidatus Saccharibacteria bacterium (sediment metagenome) tRNA-Leu
Rfam family: tRNA
About the family: Transfer RNA (tRNA) molecules are approximately 80 nucleotides in length. Their secondary structure includes four short double-helical elements and three loops (D, anti-codon, and T loops).
Source: RNAcentral